RNAcentral lists this ribosomal RNA (425 nucleotides) under uncultured bacterium. RNAcentral describes it as "bacterial SSU rRNA". It matches the Rfam family "Bacterial small subunit ribosomal RNA", at positions 30 to 460 of the family's 1533-position model. The record is from RNAcentral.
AUUGAACGCUGGCGGCAUGCCUUACACAUGCAAGUCGAACGGCAGCACGGGAGCAAUCCUGGUGGCGAGUGGCGAACGGGUGAGUAAUAUAUCGGAACGUGCCCAGUAGUGGGGGAUAACCCGGCGAAAGUCGGACUAAUACCGCAUACGACCUACGGGUGAAAGCGGGGGAUCGCAAGACCUCGCGCUAUCGGAGCGGCCGAUAUCAGAUUAGCUUGUUGGUGGGGUAAAAGCCUACCAAGGCGACGAUCUGUAGCUGGUCUGAGAGGACGACCAGCCACACUGGGACUGAGACACGGCCCAGACUCCUACGGGAGGCAGCAGUGGGGAAUUUUGGACAAUGGGCGCAAGCCUGAUCCAGCCAUGCCGCGUGCGGGAAGAAGGCCUCGGUUGUAACGACUUUGUCUAGGAGAACGGUUAGUAGC